UUUAUCUAAUAGUAAGUGUUAACCUUCAAUUCUUUCGCUCUAUACAGAACCUCAUAAAUCAGAAGGUGUGAUGGUGAUGGCAUUGAAAAUUGUAUAAGGAGAAACACAAACGAAAUGAAAUCUGCGUAAGAUCAUAGUUGUAGGCUCUACAAUUUGAUUGACAGGCGGUUUGGAUUAAUCUACCUUUUCGG
Non-coding RNA from Caenorhabditis elegans, 191 nucleotides. Lineage: Eukaryota; Metazoa; Nematoda; Chromadorea; Rhabditida; Rhabditidae. The record is from Ensembl.